CCCUGGAAAGGACACAAUGGGACGUGGGAAGACAAGGAAAGAAGAGUAGUUCUGUGCUCGUGAGAGGCGAGCUUCUCUCUUCCUAGGGGCUGCCAAUACCCUGGCUCUCACCUCCGUGGGAAAGAUCCAUGUAUGUCCACGUGUGACGUGCGCAGCAGAGUGAGCACAGAGUGUGAGCGUGCAGAGAAUACUGGGCUCCUGCCUGAUGUCCAGGACUGGUGUCCUUACAACAAGAGAAGAUGAAGACACAGACACACACAGAAGGACGGCCAUGUGAGGACACAGGGAGAGGCAGCUACCUGCAAGCCAAGGAGAGAGGCCUCAGGAGAAACCAGCCCUGCCCACACCUUGAUCUCAGAGCUCCAGCCUCCGGGCCUGAGAAAAUAAAUGUCCAUUGUUGAUGCCAUCCCAACUGGUACUUUGUUAUGGCAGCGCACACACUCACACACCCUCCCAAUGCCUCAGGAAACAGCGACUGUCAUCUUCUCCACUUUCCAGAUAGGGAAAUCAAGGCUUAGAGAAGUGGGCUGCCCCAGGUCACACACUGAUGCCCCAGGUCACACUGUGGGUCAGUGGCAGGCUGGGCUUUUCUGCUGGCCUCUGCAGCCUUCUUGGGUACCUCCUCCUCACGUACUCACUGGCCCCGAGGCACUGUUCUCCAGGACAGAUGCAGCAACCACACAUGGUCCCACCAGGACAGCGCCCCUGCAGCACGGUGGCCUCGGGCAAAAUGCCUGGACCAGGACUUGGACAUUGGGCGGCUGUGUGAC
Molecule: long non-coding RNA, 770 nt
Filed under: Homo sapiens (human)
Lineage: Eukaryota; Metazoa; Chordata; Mammalia; Primates; Hominidae
Description: HSALNT0331346
Source: RNAcentral